RNAcentral lists this ribosomal RNA (506 nucleotides) under uncultured bacterium. RNAcentral's name for it is "bacterial SSU rRNA". It matches the Rfam family "Bacterial small subunit ribosomal RNA", at positions 28 to 507 of the family's 1533-position model. The record is from RNAcentral.
AAUGAACGCUGGCGGCGUGCUUAACACAUGCAAGUCGAGCGCGAAAGGGGGCUUCGGGCCCCUGAGUAGAGCGGCGGACGGGUGAGUAACACGUGGGCAACCUACCUCCGGGUGGGGAAUAACUUCGGGAAACCGGGGCUAAUUCCGCAUAACAUUUCGGGUUCACAAGGACCUGUAAUCAAAGCUGGGGACCCUUCGGGGCCUGGCGCCUGGUGAGGGGCCCGCGGCCGAUUAGCUUGUUGGUGAGGUAAUGGCUCACCAAGGCUGCGAUCGGUAGCCGGCCUGAGAGGGCGGACGGCCACACUGGGACUGAGACACGGCCCAGACUCCUACGGGAGGCAGCAGUGGGGAAUUUUUGUCAAUGGGGGAAACCCUGAACAAGCAACGCCGCGUGGAGGAUGAAGGCCUUCGGGUCGUAAACUCCUGUCGGAGGGGACGAAAGCGGUUGAGGUUAAUACCCUCAGUCGUUGACGGUACCCUAUGAGGAAGCCCCGGCUAACUCCGUG